AUUGAACGCUGGCGGCAGGCUUAACACAUGCAAGUCGAACGGUAACAGGGGAAAGCUUGCUUUCUUGCUGACGAGUGGCGGACGGGUGAGUAAUGCUUGGGAAUCUGGCUUAUGGAGGGGGAUAACGACGGGAAACUGUCGCUAAUACCGCGUAGAGUCGAGAGACGAAAGUGCGGGACCGCAAGGCCGCAUGCCAUGAGAUGAGCCCAAGUGGGAUUAGGUAGUUGGUAGGGUAAAGGCCUACCAAGCCGACGAUCUCUAGCUGGUCUGAGAGGAUGACCAGCCACACCGGGACUGAGACACGGCCCGGACUCCUACGGGAGGCAGCAGUGGGGAAUAUUGCGCAAUGGGGGCAACCCUGACGCAGCCAUGCCGCGUGAAUGAAGAAGGCCUUCGGGUUGUAAAGUUCUUUCGGUGACGAGGAAGGUUGUUGUGUUAAUAGCG
RNAcentral lists this ribosomal RNA (444 nucleotides) under Aggregatibacter sp. oral taxon 458. RNAcentral's name for it is "bacterial SSU rRNA". It matches the Rfam family "Bacterial small subunit ribosomal RNA", at positions 30 to 467 of the family's 1533-position model. The record is from RNAcentral. Lineage: Bacteria; Pseudomonadati; Pseudomonadota; Gammaproteobacteria; Pasteurellales; Pasteurellaceae.